UCUCUUCUUUCUCUCUCUAGAAAACUCUCUCUACCUUCUCUCUAAUUUCUUUUCUCCAAACACCAAAACCACAGCCUCUUAACCACGAAAUUAUGGAGAUUCAUAAGGGUUUUUCAAGCCACAAAUAAAUUUAAGGAAUCGAUAGUGGUACCAGUGGAGCGUAGAUCAAUGCAUCAUUUGCAUCAUCUCAAUGCAUAUUGAAUCAUCGAGUACGUGGCACUUAGGGACACUUCACUUUUAGGAGCAUUCGCAUGUGUUGUAUUUCUAUUUUCAUUGUAAUUUCUUGUAAAAGUUGUUCAAACCCAUUGUAAAUUUGUAAUGAUUUUUAAUACUAUG
Molecule: non-coding RNA, 336 nt
Organism: Lactuca sativa (garden lettuce)
Lineage: Eukaryota; Viridiplantae; Streptophyta; Magnoliopsida; Asterales; Asteraceae
Source: RefSeq, a predicted model, not a curated record